RNAcentral lists this ribosomal RNA (305 nucleotides) under uncultured bacterium. RNAcentral describes it as "bacterial SSU rRNA". It matches the Rfam family "Bacterial small subunit ribosomal RNA", at positions 336 to 658 of the family's 1533-position model. The record is from RNAcentral.
UUCCUACGGGAGGCAGCAGUGGGGAAUAUUGCACAAUGGGGGAAACCCUGAUGCAGCGACGCCGCGUGAAGGAAGAAGUAUUUCGGUAUGUAAACUUCUAUCAGCAGAGAAGAAAAUGACGGUACCUGACUAAGAAGCCCCGGCUAACUACGUGCCAGCAGCCGCGGUAAUACGUAGGGGGCAAGCGUUAUCCGGAUUUACUGGGUGUGAAGGGAGCGUAGGCGGUAAUGCAAGUCAGAAGUGAAAGCCCGGGGCUCAACUCCGGGACUGCUUUUGAAACUGCAGAGCUUGAGUGGAGUAGAGGG